GCCUAUGGCCAUACUUCCCUGAUCUUGCCUGAACAUGUCUGAUAUUGGAGGCUAACCAGCCUCUGGCCUGGUUAAUACUUGGAUGGGAGGCUGGGAAUAGUGGGUGCUGUAGGCU
RNAcentral lists this ribosomal RNA (115 nucleotides) under Chaetura pelagica (chimney swift). The record is from RNAcentral. Lineage: Eukaryota; Metazoa; Chordata; Aves; Apodiformes; Apodidae.